Eucalyptus grandis is the source of this 682-nucleotide long non-coding RNA. RefSeq lists it as uncharacterized. Lineage: Eukaryota; Viridiplantae; Streptophyta; Magnoliopsida; Myrtales; Myrtaceae. The record is from RefSeq and is a predicted model, not a curated record. The transcript is spliced from 2 exons.
CUAAAAGGACACGUGGCUCGGUGAUCUGAUGCGUCACUUUGGUGAACUAGUACCUUAGAGAAUGCACAUGGGUCCAGUAUUCGAGAAUGGCAUCUAAAAGGGCACGUGGCUCGAUGACUUGAUGUACAACUUUGGUGAAGAGGUCGCCUUAUAGAAUGCACGUGGGCCCAAGGUUUAAGGCACGUGGCUUGGAGACUUGGUAUGUCGUCUUGGAGAAUGCACGUGGCCUAACUUCUAGAUAUUCCACCGUGGGGAUUGAAUCGAGUGACAUGUAAUCAAUUGGUUCGAUUUGUUUAAGUAAGUGGGUGCCUAUUAUGAUAGGUGGAAUCUGAGACCAAGAACUUCCUAAGACGUAGUCCCAUCCCGGUUGUGGGACGACAUUUCAAGCCCGUAGAUGAGCCUGAGGAGGAGGAGGAGCUAGAAGAUGAUGAUGAGCCAGGAAAAGAUGAAGAGCACGAAGGAAAUGAGCUUAGUGAAGAUGAGUCAAAAGAGGAUCAGGAUGAUCCUGAAUAUGACCCAGAUGAGAAUUGAAAUCUCAUCUCUUUUAUGAACCCUAUGUAUAUGUGUAGAUAGAGUGAGACUUUGAAGUUUGUGAAUAGUUUGUGAAGUACUCUAUCUAAUGCCAUGUAUAAAGUUUUGGUUGUAGACUUCAAUAUGAAAAAUAUGACAUGUUUUUCUAUCC